GCUGGGCCCUGCCCUGAAGCUCUGGAAAUGCAGAGUCCCUGGUCUCCGGGACAGCGGGCAGCUGGGGCCAGGGAGUCUAGGGCGGAGGUCAGGGCUGCCCUUGGGUCCACUACCCCCAUCUGUGACUUGCGUUGGCCCUGGGAUACAGGUGCAAGGCCUCUUCACCCAGGAAGGGAGCUCUCCAACUGGAAUGUGAUCCUCAGCGAGUCUGAUCUGGACGGAGUCGACGUGGAUGUCUGUGUUGGACUUGUUUUUUACUUCUUUGACCAGCACUGAAAGUGAAGCCACCAUGCCACUCCGUGUGACACUGUCCUGUGCUGCCAUCACGUUUGCUCUGCCACCGUGAGACUUAGUAGCACCUGCUCUGCCUUGGGCGGACGUCUGAUUUGCUUCCAGUUUGGGGUUCCCCACAUAGGCAGCCCCAGCUUCUCUGUCCAUGAGGUUCUUGGUUUCCAAGCUCUUGCUAACGUUGAAGCCCAGUAUUUUUUGGAAAUGUUUUUUUUUUAAUUUUUUAAGAAUAUUUUUUAUUUGAGAGGAAGAAUUAUAGAAAGAGAUUUUCAUCUGUUGGUUCAAUCCCUAUAUGGCCAAAACAUCUGGAGCUGGGCCUAUCCGAAGUGAAGAGCCAGGAGCUUCUUCCAGUCUCCCAUAUCGGUGCAGUUCGGACAUCCUCUGCUGCUUUCCUAGGCCAUCCGCAGGGAGCUGCAUCAGAAGUGGAGCUGCUGGGACUUGAACUGAUGCCCAUGUGGUGUUCUAGCGCUGCAGGCAGAGGCUUAACCUACUAUUCCACAGCUCCAGUCCCUGAAGCCCAGUCUUGCACUAAGUGUCGAUGGACCAGGUAGAGCCCUGAUGCCAUUACUGGGUCCCAAGGUGGGGCCUUUGAGCAGUGAGUGGCUUGGGUAGGUUGCAGAGACUUGAGGAAGGUUAAGUAGGAGCCACCCACCUUCGCUCUGCUCCCCGUCUGCCAGCGUUGGACUGGGGGCGUCGGUGCAGUCAGCCCAGAUGGACCUUCCCCACUCCAGGGAGGUUCCCUGGGGCGUUCUAGCUGGAGGAAGGUAGGGCUGAGUGCCCAAGCGGUCUGGCCGCAGCCAGCUGUCAGCGUCCUCCAGCAGGCUUUUCUGCUGCGGGUUCUGUGUUCCGCGUUCUGCACCAGCCCUCCAGGUCUGUCUUUAGUGCUGCCUGCACCAGCAUUAGGGCCCUGGGCGGACAGCAGUGCGAGAGGACGCCUCCUGCCUCUGCUCUGGGCUCUCCCUCCCAAGAUCGCAGAUUCCGACCCACAGCCGUCCUUCCUGGGAUCCCCUUUGUGCACGAGGGGCAGCAGCUGGCCUGGCUCUGCUCGCACCACACAGUGCAGGAGCCCCUGCUCCUCUUUGCCGUCACAGCCCCUGCUCUGUGCCCUGUGGGGGCUCUGGGGGCAGGGGCACAAUGGGUUUUGCAUGGAGAUGGGUCCCAAUGGGCCUUGCUUCCUAGAUGCUGGGCCCCCCAGCCUGGAGAGCACGUGUGUGUGGGAGGGGCUUUUGGACCGGGGCUGUGUCACUGUGGUAUAUAAUAACCACUACUACUAGCAUAUGCCACAGUGGCACAGACCCUGACAAAAUCCCCUGUCUCCCCUCACUGGAGAUUCUGCAGCUCCAGCGGCUUCUCUCAGGGAAGACAGCUGCAGCCCUCUGCAGGGAUCCCUCGUCUGCUCCAGGUGAGCCCCGUGGGCCAGGUCUUGGUCCAGCAGGAGGCUGGGCAGUGACAGAGAAGCUCCCCUCUCCAGACAGGAGCCCCCUCCUCACUGGCCGCCCUGGUGGCCCAGGGUUUUUGUAGGAAGAGGUCUCCUGUGACGUCAGGCCUGGAAAGGCUUGGAGUCUUGCUGUUUGCAUUCUGCAUGGUGGGCUUCUCUUGCUUUCUUCCUGACCCUGGGUGGCUGGUGGGGAUCCAGGUCUCCACCACUUCCCCAGUCGCCUCGUGUGGCUUGUGUUCUAGCCCUCGACGUUGCCAUGGCCUGGCCCCUGGCGGCCAGGCCUGGGACGCUGUGGCCCCGGCUUCGGUUUCUCUUCCUUGGACACAUGUGCAUGUCUCUGGAGAUGUCAUCCCAGCCCCAGAGAGAGACAGGUCUCUGCCUGGCCCGCGCAGUGCUCCAGCUCACGCACACUGCCAUGUGUGCCUGCACAGUUUGAGCCUUCAUCCCGGCCACUCCAGCCCAGUCUCUGCAGCGGCCCCCAGAGCAACAGCAGCGCAGCCGGGGGCUCCGUGUGCCGCCCGCAGUAGGCUUGGCGAGCAGGGUGUGCAGGCUCAGGAAGGUGCAGGGCCUCCUGUGGCUGCACCGUUGGAGUCCAGGUUGGGCGCUGACUCUCACCAUCCAGCUGCCUCUCGCAGGUGUUUUCUGUGUGCUGCUGGCUUCCUGCUUUAGUGGCACAAGACCCAGGACACUCGCACAAUGGCAAGGUAACCCUUUGCACCGCCCACAGGGUGAGCACAGGGUCCCUGGCUUUAGUCCCCGACUCCCGGCCAAGUGUUGUCUGAGAUAAGCACAGUGCAAGUCAGUGAGGCGGCAGAAGCAGGCUUUUCAGGGACUACUGACAGCAGCGAGAGGUUUGGCCUCGCAGAGAGAGAGAGUGGGGCAAAGAGGGGGCUGGCAGGCGGCGUGGGGCCGUGGGGGCAGUGAACAGCUCCCGAGGCCUCCAUGCCCCUGCAGGGCACCCUGCUGGCCUCUGUGGCGAGCACCUGCGGCCGGGUCAGGUCGAUGGGUGGCUUCCCUGCUCACAAGUCUGUGGCUAUGGCUGAGAGAGGGAAGACAGAGUGAAGGAGGCUGAAAUUGCAGAUCCCUCCUGCACAUGCCUACCCGGAUUCAGACCCUGGCAAAUGUCCCCUGCUUGGGUCAUCUCCAGGACUCUCACUUUCUGGAGUGUGGUAAAAUCUGGUCUUUCCGGACCCUUACAUCUUUAGUCUUCAAAAAUCUUGUGAGAGUUUUCAGGGUGUCAACACUCAAGAAUUGUAGAGACACAGCGGAUUAGGCCAGACUGAGGAGUAGUAUGCAGAGGUGUAGCUGACCUGUGUCUGCUGGGCUGUGUGUGCUGGGCUGUGAGGAGCUGACUGUGAGGAGCUGGGCUGUGUGUGUUGGCUGUGAGGUGCUGGCCCCUGAGCAGCUGGGCUGUGUGUGCUGGCUGUGAGGUGCUGGCCCCUAGGUGCCGACUCCUGAGCAGCUGGGCUGUGUGUGCUGGCUGUGAUGUGCUGGCUCCUAAGUGCUGGUCUUUGCAGUGGCAGGUUGCUCAUCCCUGUGGACACUCUGCCUCUGAGAAUUCUAUGGACCAGGACCUGUGGGUGCAGAGAGUGCUGUGUCAUGUCCUUGCCCCUCCCAAGCUCAAGGCUCCCAGGUCCUCUGCUGCAGACUCCUUGGCCACCCUGCAUGGACACUGAGGCUGUGUUCUCACUGCUGUGUCCAGGCGUUGACUUCUGUGUCAAGUGCAGUCUGCGUUUUUCCAGGUUCCUGUGUGGCUGUGUUGGACUCACUGUUCUAGGCAGGCUCAUGAGCUGUCUUUCAGUGGAAAUCCUGGUAAAUGGGACCCUUCCCAGAAGGGCCCCUGACCUGAGCCCUGGGCCUCAGCGUCCAAGGGACUCAGCCUUCCCUGGGUGAGGACUGCAGGCCUCAGCUGCUAUUCAACGCGGUCUCUCCAGGUGGUCCAAGGCUCUUGUCUUUGGGCUCAGCCCUGAGACGCACAGAGUUCUGCUUCAGCCUCUCAGGCCUCUGUUUGUGGGUCAGUGACACAGCCCUGGCACCCAGCCCUGGCACCCGGCCCAGCCCCUCCAGUCCUCAGUGGGUUGAAGCUCUGCUGCCCUCUCCUGACUCUGGCCUCACCUGGAGGUCUUGGCCCCUCUCACUGCAGGCUCCCUGCACCAGCCCGGGACACACUCUUUGUCCAGGGACAAGAUACAGCACGGAGACUCUCCUCUCUCCAGUAGGGUGGACACUUCCCUGAGGCUCUUGGUGGGGUCUCCGGGCCUCCACACCUACAUCCCAAGGUAAAAGCCCUCUGUCCAUCAGCUGCCCAGGUCCUGUUGUUGGCCCCUCCAAGCCGGGGACAGGAGCAGGACCCCAGCUCCUGCUCUGUGGCUGUCACUGGACGGAGUCACAGCUCACAUUUUCCAGAGUCGUGCAGGGGCUGGCUUCCUUUUCAGGUUUUGGAGCCAGUGAGUAUGUGCCCAGGGCACGUGUCAGCCAUGGCAGGUGUGAGUGGUCAGAGCACAGGGAAGGACCACCCAGCAGUUGAGCCAUGGGCAUGGGACCCAAGGCUGUGAGGGGAGCCAGCAGCACCUUGGAGAGACCAGAGCCAACUCCCCAACUCCUAGGGUCCCCCUCAGGAGUGGUACUGCCCCAAGGAGGUCAGUGCCUGACGGAAACAAAGCCCCCAGCUCAGGGGAUGUAGAAGGGGAGUCUGACCCUAGCAGGUGUCUGACCAUGGGGCAAGAGGUCAGAUGCUGCCGAGAGCUGAGUUGGGUGUGAGCGUGAGGGUGGCAUGGGUGUGGGUGGUGGUGGUGUGGAUGUGGGUUAGGUGGUCUGGGUGUGGGUAAGAUUUUGCCAGUUGUAUGGGGUCAGGUGCUGGCUCUGAGUUACAUUUCCCGGGGCCUGCACAGUGUGCCGUGGCUGUCCUCACCAUGGGCACAGAGGGCUCUGGAUGUCAGAGAGUCCCACAGGGCCAAGGCCCAGCUGUUGCAGGUAGGCCCUGGAGAGUUGCCUGCACUGUCCACGUCCUCUCCCGGCCUCCACAGGGCCUCUGUCCAUGCUGUCUCUCGUGGUCCCAUCCAGAGGGAUGCUGAGACUACUUUACUUCCUCAUGUUGGUUCGCCAUCUCUCCACGCAAAGAUGCCUUCUCCCUGGGAGGGCGCAGUCUCAGGUCCUAGGACAAAGACCCAGACCCUAUGGGGGCCCCUCAGCCCUAUUACCCUGGACAAGCUGGUGGAGCCAGGCCCUCUUCUGCCACACCAGAUCCCAGCUGGAUCCUGUUCCCUCUGCUUCCCAUGCACUGGGAGCACCUGUACCCCACGGAGGGCAUCACAGCCCACUCGGCCUGGGGGCAGCGGGAAGCUAGGCUGAUGCAGUCCCAGCCACCUGAGUCUGCCCUGGGUGGGGCUCAGGGGAAGGCUUGCCCCGAGCCCCUCAACCUCUCGCCCUCUGUCAGGGAUGGUCUUGACCCCAGAGGGCUGCCCCCUGGGCUCUGUGUGGCACUGUGCAGUUCCAAGGCUCACCCUUCCCCCUGAGGUUGGGGGAGUUAGGCCUGUAGCACAGGGCAGGCCACUGUACAUGCCACACGCCGCCCUGGCUGUCAUGAAUCUCCACACAGGACUCGUCUGUCUCACCCCCCACUGAGCAGUGCACCUGCGGGCUCUCCCCUGGGCUGGGACUCGCAGCUCCCCAGGUCCAUGCAGGGGCCAGGGCAGGCCAAGAGGCAGUUGGAGGUUUCCUUUGUUUCCCUGGAUCCACACGCAGCAGUGAGCACUGGGGGCUGCUGUCCUUGAGUCCUCAGGGCUCUGGAUGUGUCCUGGGCCUUGGCCACACCUGGUGGCUGCUCCUGGCUCUGCUGUUUUGUCAGUGGCACUGGAACGUGGCCCUCCUUACAGUCUGCACAGUAGGGAGGCCCCUCCAUAGAGCUGCAAGCUACCCACCAGGCCCACGAGGGAGCCCCUGACAUGGGCGGAGGCAGGUGGCUUUGACCCUGUUUGCAUGUCUCCAUCUUGUUUCCCCUCUGUGGGAGGAAUUUCUCCUGUGCUAGCAGAGAGAGGACACUGUGGCCAUGCACUCACACACACAGUCUGACCUGGAGCAGAGGCCACUUACCGCGGGCGUGGAACAGAUGCUGCUCGGAGCCUGGGGACAAGGUCAGCCAACCCAGAUCCAGCACUUUGAGUCUCCCUGGGUCUCCAACUGCCCAUCCAUCUCCUUUGGCUGGGAGCCCGGGGGUCCAGGGUAUCCUCAGUGAGAUCUCCUGACCCUGUGGUCACUCAUUGCCAAACCCUGUCCCUGCUGAGGCGCCAGGCAAAGGUAUUCAUGCAUCUCAAUUCUAGCUGCACGAAACGGGAGGAGAGCCUUCCCUGUGGAUGCACACGAAGCAAAGCCGCCCACGGCGCUGUCCCUGGCCAUGGUGAGGGCCAUCUCGUGGUUCGGGCUUGGGCUUUCCUGCAGUGGCCUCCCUGGUGGUCUCUCUUUUACUGUCUUGGGAGGGCUGGGAAGGGUGCUGGUCUCAGGGGUGGUCCUAUCUCUUCAGGCAUGAGGACCUCAGCUUGAGACCACGCCUGUGCUUUCUUAUCUCUCCCUUUCCCUGUCCAGAAGUGGAUGUUUUUCCUGGCAGCAAAGAGAUGGAUCUUGGUUUUCUUUGCUCUUCUCUUUGGUGGGUGGGGUGGGUUGGCCAGGGGAAAGGGAGACGCAGGAUUUCACAGAGAUCUUCUUGCAAGUGUCGUUCUCCUGCUUUCUGUAGUUUUCUCUUGGGCUGCUUAUUGCUUAGUGCUGACUUUAGUUAUUUUUUUUUUAAAGAUUUAUUUAUUUAUUUGAAAGUCAGAGUUACACACAGAGAGGAGAUGCAGAGAAAGAGGUCUUCCAUCCGCUGGUUCACUCCCCAUUUGGCUGCAACAGCUGGAGCUGGGCCAAUCUGAAGCCAGGAGCCAGGAGCCAGGAGCCAGGAGCUUCUUCUGGUCUCCCACGUGGGUGCAGGGGCCAAGCACUUGGGCCAUCUUCUACUGCUUUCCCAGGCCAUAGUAGAGGGCUGGAUUGGAAAUGGAGCAGCCGGGACUUGAACAGCACCCCUAUGGAAUGCCGGGGCUGCAAGCAGCGGCUUUACCUGCUACGCCACACUGUGGGCCCUAGUCUUCCUAAGCUCUGGGCGCAAGUGCUUCUUGAGAUGUGUCCUUCCCCUCCUUCUGUUUCCAUCACAGUGUCAUUCACACGCUGAAGCUUGGAAUAAUAAGGAAGUUGCAUUUAUUCAUAUUUUUUCCUUUAUAAAGGGUAUGUUGGGGUUGUAGCUAAGACCUUAAAGGGAACUAAAGGACACCCAGGAUUUUCUCCACGGCUUCCUCUAGAAAUUGUGUUGAUGUGUGUUGCACAAGAGGUGUGUGAUCCAUUUUGAGUUGAUCUCUGUAGAAAUCAUAGCGUUUUAAUGGUUUUUCUUGUUUGUUGUUGUUUUAAUACUCUCUGUUGAAAAGAUUAUCUUUUUUUACGCCACUAAGUUCCCUGUGCUUCUUUUCAAAGACCUGCCUGCAUUCACUCAUCCUGAGUAUGGACCUAGAGAUGGAAGUGCUGGGUGACACUGCAGUACUUUUGCUUUUGGGGAAGCCCCAUUAUCCUUCCACUAUGGUUGGAGCAUUUUACAAUGCACUGUGGGGAGUAAGCCCACUUGAGACCGCCCCAGAAACAUGGAGGGAGCAGAAAGCCAGGUAAGUGGUGAGCAGCAGGUGCAAGCAGGCUCCUCCCUCAGAGACUCAGCCUUUGUAUCCCCGCCAUGUGGAUGUCCCUUCUUCCGGUUUCCGGAUGGAUCCGUGCACAUGACGGGCUGCUCAAAUUUCAGGUCUGCUGAGAGAAUAGGUCAGGCCAUUGUCCUCCUGGCACCCAAGGACACUGACCACAGCUGUCCUUCAUGAACCUUAAUCCCAAAAUGUAGGGCAAAUGCUCAGACCCGACUGCUUUCGAACGCCAGCUCUUGGCAGCUGCUUAGGUGCUGACAACUCAGACAAAGCGUCUGCGGGUUGUGUGUUCUGGAGAGCAGGAGCCGGGUUGUCCUGUGUCCAGCUUCGCCCAAGCCCUACCCUGAGCCCCUCCAAGGCAUUUGCAGGUUUGAAUGAAUGCUUCUUCUCCAGGGGAAGCAAGCAUUUCUCAGGGGUGCUAGGCGACUUCUUCGCAGGAACUGCAGAGGCAGAAGAAUCUCAACUCCAGUCCUCUUGCAGCCUGAGAUCUGGGGUUUCAAGAGAGAAAGCAGCUUAUCUAUCAAGGAGGGCAGCUUAUCCAUCAAGCAGAAGCAACUGCACUUUUGCCAAGACGCAGACCUCUCCUCCAGUGACCACAGCUUGCCCUGAGGUGGGCCUGGGCUUAGUGAUUCCUGAGCUCCCUCUGGGGGUCCUGGGAGCCCCUGGUCAUUUCCUGCAAGUUGGGGGUCAGGGGAGUGAGUAGUGUGACACAAAGGUCAGGAUGCUGCUUGGGACACCUGCGUCCUGGUUCAGUCUCGGCCUCUCUGAUUCUGUUCCUGCUUUUCACCGAUGUGUACCCUGGGAGACAAUGAGUAUUGGCUCAAACUCUGGGUCCUCCUUGCCAAUACGGGAAAUCUGGGCUGACUUCUAGGCUCCUGUCUUUUGGUUUGCUCACUCUUGGCUGUUGUGAGCAUGUGGGGAGGGAAUUGUGGGUAUAAAAUUUCUCUCUCUCUCUGCCUUUAUGUCUC
Non-coding RNA from Oryctolagus cuniculus (rabbit), 8402 nucleotides. The record is from RefSeq and is a predicted model, not a curated record. Lineage: Eukaryota; Metazoa; Chordata; Mammalia; Lagomorpha; Leporidae.